This is a non-coding RNA of Cinara cedri, 264 nucleotides long. The record is from the annotation of a GenBank genome assembly. Lineage: Eukaryota; Metazoa; Arthropoda; Insecta; Hemiptera; Aphididae.
CAAAAGCAACCAGAUCAAAUCUGUAUUAAGAAUAUGCAGAGAUAAUAAAUAUUUUUUUAUAGAGUAUUCACACGAUAGUGCUGUUGAACCUGCAAAAAUUACAAGUAAUCCAGAAUUAAAAUUUUAUGUGUUACAGAUUGGAAAAAGUAUAGUAACAGUCAAGAGUGUAGAGGGAAAAAGGAACUAUACAGACAUCUUAGAAAGCAGUAUCAAGAUGACUUUUACCACUGAAGUAGGAGAAGUCAAUAUUCAAUUAAGUCCUAG